UCGACGGGUGAGUAACGCGUGAGAACCUGCCUCUAAGUCGGGGACAACAGUUGGAAACGACUGCUAAUACCGGAUGAGCCGUAUUGGUAAAAGAUUUAUCGCUUAGAGAGGGGCUCGCGUCUGAUUAGCUAGAUGGUAGUGUAAAAGACAACCAUGGCGACGAUCAGUAGCUGGUCUGAGAGGAUGAUCAGCCACACUGGGACUGAGACACGGCCCAGACUCCUACGGGAGGCAGCAGUGGGGAAUUUUCCGCAAUGGGCGAAAGCCUGACGGAGCAAUACCGCGUGAGGGAGGAAGGCUCUUGGGUUGUAAACCUCAAAACUUAGGGAAGAAAAAAAUGACGGUACCUAAUAUAAGCAUCGGCUAACUCCGUGCCAGCAGCCGCGGUAAUACGGAGGAUGCAAGCGUUAUCCGGAAUCAUUGGGCGUAAAGAGUCCGUAGGUGGCACAUCAAGUCUGCUUUUAAAGACCGAAGCUCAACUUCGGAAAGGGAGUGGAAACUGAAGAGCUAGAGUAUAGUAGGGGUAGAGGGAAUUCCUAGUGUAGCGGUGAAAUGCGUAGAGAUUAGGAAGAACACCAGUGGCGAAGGCGCUCUACUGGGCAUAUACUGACACUGAGGGACGAAAGCUAGGGGAGCAAAAGGGAUUAGAUACCCCUGUAGUC
RNAcentral lists this ribosomal RNA (662 nucleotides) under Synechocystis aquatilis SAG 90.79. RNAcentral describes it as "bacterial SSU rRNA". It matches the Rfam family "Bacterial small subunit ribosomal RNA", at positions 99 to 795 of the family's 1533-position model. Lineage: Bacteria; Bacillati; Cyanobacteriota; Cyanophyceae; Synechococcales; Merismopediaceae. The record is from RNAcentral.